CUAGAAAGUCCCGCGAGCA
Molecule: transfer RNA, 19 nt
Filed under: Salmo trutta fario
Lineage: Eukaryota; Metazoa; Chordata; Actinopteri; Salmoniformes; Salmonidae
Also listed under: 1 other name
Description: partial tRNA-Phe
Source: RNAcentral